RNAcentral lists this ribosomal RNA (468 nucleotides) under uncultured bacterium. RNAcentral describes it as "partial 16S ribosomal RNA". It matches the Rfam family "Bacterial small subunit ribosomal RNA", at positions 28 to 507 of the family's 1533-position model. The record is from RNAcentral.
GACGAACGCUGGCGGCGUGCUUAACACAUGCAAGUCGAACGGAAAGGCCCUGCUUUUGUGGGGUGCUCGAGUGGCGAACGGGUGAGUAACACGUGAGUAACCUGCCCUUGACUUUGGGAUAACUUCAGGAAACUGGGGCUAAUACCGGAUAGGAGCUCCUGCUGCAUGGUGGGGGUUGGAAAGUUUCGGCGGUUGGGGAUGGACUCGCGGCUUAUCAGCUUGUUGGUGGGGUAGUGGCUUACCCAGGCUUUGACGGGUAGCCGGCCUGGGAGGGUGACCGGCCACAUUGGGACUGAGAUACGGACCAGACUCCUACGGGAGGCAGCAGUGGGGAAUAUUGCACAAUGGGCGGAAGCCUGAUGCAGCAACGCCGCGUGCGGGAUGACGGCCUUCGGGUUGUAAACCGCUUUCGCCUGUGACGAAGCGUGAGUGACGGUAAUGGGUAAAGAAGCACCGGCUAACUACGUG